This is a long non-coding RNA of Homo sapiens (human), 1108 nucleotides long. Ensembl annotates it as small nucleolar RNA host gene 14. Its record names the gene SNHG14. Lineage: Eukaryota; Metazoa; Chordata; Mammalia; Primates; Hominidae. The record is from Ensembl.
AGUGAAUGACCUGUUGCAGUGCUUUCAUUGAAGUGUUCUUCGUUCCCUCAGCAAUAUGAUUGUGAUGACUGAAAAAGGGAAACUGUGCCACUAUUUGUACCAUCAUUUUCACCAAAAUCUAAAAAUGCUUUUUAUGACGUAUGGAGACAUUCUUCAUGUUUGUUUCAGUGGACACUCCUUGCAGAUGUAAAAAACUGAGAAAACUCACUUUUGGAAAGUGACCUAAAGAGUGUCAUUGAAGUGAAUUUUAAGUAGGCACGAUGAUUGUUUUCAUGGUUGCUGUUGGAUCAUAUCUCAGGAGCUGGAAUGACAGACAUUAUUGAACAAAGAAAUCAGGAUAGUGGAACUUAAAGGGCUUCAUCUCAGUGCUUUCAUAAGUAUGAAGUGCAUAUAUUUAUAAUUUUCACUAAUCACAGGGUAAAUAUAAAAUUGAUUCAUUAAAAAUGUUUCAUAAGAAUUCAAAGGACAUAGAAUUUUGUGAAAUGUAGUAUUUUUACUUAAGUGCCUUUUCUCUGCUUCUACCCCACAGCCAAUUUUUUAUAAACCAGUUGAUAACAUAAGUAGUUUUUGGGGGAUGAUACAUUACUUAUACAUUUUCUAUGUAGUAAACAUGUAUGUGUAUGUGUGUGGGUGUGUGUCUAAUUACUUUGUUGGACAGAUUCCUGUGGUUUGGAACUGCUGGGGCCAAGUUUAUACAAAAAUCUACAUUUUUGAGUAAACUCCCCAUGACUCUAGUAAGUUUCCACAGUAUUUGAGUAUUCUUUAUUUCCUAAAGCUGUACAAACAUCAGAUAAUCAAUAUUUGUAAGGAUCGAUAAUAUAAUUUAUAAUGAAAUUGCUUUAUCAGCUAUUAAUGUUAACUACAUCAUCUUCAUAUAGCCUUAUAACUCAUUUGUGCUAUUCCAUUUUCCUCUGUUCCUUUUAUUUUCACUUCCCUUGUAAUGUUAGUCUCUUUGUACUGAUUUCUGAAGAGUUCAUUUAUGAUUAAACAUGUUAACAUUUUGUCUAGAAUUGCAAAUAUGUUUUUUCUCAUUCAUUUUACUAUGGUGUUUUAUUUUUUGGUUAUACAGAAGUUGUAUAUUGAAAUAUAAUCUUGUUCUGUUUUAUGA